GGUACAUAGUUUAGUGGUUAAAACUCCCGCUUGUCAAGCGGGCAACACGGGUUCGAUUCCCGUUGUACC
RNAcentral lists this transfer RNA (69 nucleotides) under Bigelowiella longifila. It matches the Rfam family "tRNA". Rfam says of the family: Transfer RNA (tRNA) molecules are approximately 80 nucleotides in length. The record is from RNAcentral. Lineage: Eukaryota; Cercozoa; Chlorarachniophyceae.